GAAAAAGAGUUUAACAACUCCUAUUCUUUUUAAAAGGUCGUCUUCUUCAAAACCCCAUAUUCUUUUUUCUCCUACUCUACACAUCGAAAUGGAAUCUUUAUAACCUAAACGUCCGCAUCUUAUUAGCCAUUCCACCGGGCUAGAAAAGGUUGCUUUUGAAAAAGGCACCUAAUAAGGAAUCC
This 182-nucleotide unclassified non-coding RNA is filed under the name Physcomitrium pyriforme. Lineage: Eukaryota; Viridiplantae; Streptophyta; Bryopsida; Funariales; Funariaceae. The record is from RNAcentral.